RNAcentral lists this ribosomal RNA (441 nucleotides) under Epilobium hirsutum. RNAcentral's name for it is "eukaryotic LSU rRNA". The stretch from base 301 to 441 matches the Rfam family "Eukaryotic large subunit ribosomal RNA", at positions 1 to 141 of the family's 3401-position model. Lineage: Eukaryota; Viridiplantae; Streptophyta; Magnoliopsida; Myrtales; Onagraceae. The record is from RNAcentral. RNAcentral also lists the same sequence under 1 other name.
UGCAGAAUCCCGUGAACCAUCGAGUCUUUGAACGCAAGUUGCGCCCUAAGCCAUUUGGCCGAGGGCACGUCUGCCUGGGCGUCAAUCAUCUAUUCGUCACCCAACCUCCGCUCCCCGAAAAGGAGCUUUGGUCCCGGGUACGGAAGUUGGCCUCCCGUGCUCUUGAAGCGCGGCUGGCCUAAAACUGAGCAUCGGACUGAUGAUCUCCGAGGCACGCGGUGGUUGUUCAUUCCUACCUCGUGACGUUGCCAAGGAGCGUCUCCCGUACGAAGCUCCACGACCCUAGAUUUACUAUCGAUGCGACCCCAGGUCAGGCGGGGCCACCCGCUGAAUUUAAGCAUAUCAAUAAGCGGAGGAAAAGAAACUAACAAGGAUUCCCCUAGUAGCGGCGAGCGAACCGGGAAAUGCCCACCAUGAAAAUCGAGCUCCUUUGGUGCUCGA